Molecule: small nuclear RNA, 155 nt
Filed under: Carlito syrichta (Philippine tarsier)
Lineage: Eukaryota; Metazoa; Chordata; Mammalia; Primates; Tarsiidae
Description: U1 spliceosomal RNA (ENSTSYG00000022816.2)
Rfam family: U1 spliceosomal RNA
About the family: U1 is a small nuclear RNA (snRNA) component of the spliceosome (involved in pre-mRNA splicing). Its 5' end forms complementary base pairs with the 5' splice junction, thus defining the 5' donor site of an intron.
Source: Rfam by way of RNAcentral
GCACUUACCUGGCAGGGGAGAUAAUAUGAUCACGAAGGUGGUUUUCCCAGGGUGAGGCUUAUCCAUUGUACUCCGGAUGUUCUGACCCCUGCAAUUUCCCCAAAUGCGACUGCAUAAUUUGUGAUAGUGGGAUACUGCAUUUGUGCUCUCCCCUA